This 255-nucleotide unclassified non-coding RNA is filed under the name Mortierella sp. RNAcentral describes it as "partial internal transcribed spacer region". The stretch from base 1 to 46 matches the Rfam family "Eukaryotic small subunit ribosomal RNA", at positions 1786 to 1831 of the family's 1831-position model. The record is from RNAcentral. Lineage: Eukaryota; Fungi; Mortierellomycota; Mortierellomycetes; Mortierellales; Mortierellaceae.
AAGUCGUAACAAGGUUUCCGUAGGUGAACCUGCGGAAGGAUCAUUCAAAAUAAAAGUGAAAUUCUAUAUGGCACUUUUAAAACAAUCCAUAUUCACCUUGUGUGCAAUGUUUAUAUGGGAAGUUGGUUUAAUUUAUUAACUUCCUGUUUAACUUAAUUACUCUUAUUAUUUUUUUACAAGAAAUCGUCUGAAAAACUAUUAUUGAAUAAACUUAAUUCAAAAAUAUAACUUUCAACAACGGAUCUCUUGGCUCUC